UUGGUAUGAUGAAUAAACAGCACAUGCGCGUCAUCUGAUGACAAAUCAAUGAUCUCCCUGUUCUGUGUUUUACUGGAUUUGGAGUAUUGUACUGUCAAUAUGAUCAUUCUUGUGCUUCUGACCAA
Small nucleolar RNA from Homalodisca vitripennis (glassy-winged sharpshooter), 125 nucleotides. RefSeq annotates it as small nucleolar RNA SNORD10. The record is from RefSeq and is a predicted model, not a curated record. The transcript has a single exon. Lineage: Eukaryota; Metazoa; Arthropoda; Insecta; Hemiptera; Cicadellidae.